UGGGGAAUCUUCCGCAAUGGGCGCAAGCCUGACGGAGCAACGCCGCGUGAGUGAAGAAGGUCUUCGGAUCGUAAAGCUCUGUUGACGGGGACGAACGUGCGGGGUGCGAAUAGCGCUUUGUAAUGACGGUACCUGUCGAGGAAGCCACGGCUAACUACGUGCCAGCAGCCGCGGUAAUACGUAGGUGGCGAGCGUUGUCCGGAAUCAUUGGGCGUAAAGGGAGCGCAGGCGGGCCGGUAAGUCUUACUUAAAAGUGCGGGGCUCAACCCCGUGAUGGGAGAGAAACUAUCGGUCUUGAGUACAGGAGAGGAAAGCGGAAUUCCCAGUGUAGCGGUGAAAUGCGUAGAUAUUGGGAAGAACACCAGUGGCGAAGGCGGCUUUCUGGACUGCAACUGACGCUGAGGCUCGAAAGCCAGGGGAGCGAACG
This 427-nucleotide ribosomal RNA is filed under the name uncultured Selenomonas sp. RNAcentral describes it as "bacterial SSU rRNA". It matches the Rfam family "Bacterial small subunit ribosomal RNA", at positions 355 to 774 of the family's 1533-position model. The record is from RNAcentral. Lineage: Bacteria; Bacillati; Bacillota; Negativicutes; Selenomonadales; Selenomonadaceae.